GGCAUACCAUAUGCAAGUAGAKCGGUAGCAAAGAGAGCUUGCUCUUUGGGUGACGAGCGGCGGACGGGUGAGUAAUGUCUGGGAAACUGCCUGAUGGAGGGGGAUAACUACUGGAAACGGUAGCUAAUACCGCAUAACGUCGCAAGACCAAAGAGGGGGACCUUCGGGCCUCUUGCCAUCAGAUGUGCCCAGAUGGGAUUAGCUAGUAGGUGGGGUAACGGCUCACCUAGGCGACGAUCCCUAGCUGGUCUGAGAGGAUGACCAGCCACACUGGAACUGAGACACGGUCCAGACUCCUACGGGAGGCAGCAGUGGGGAAUAUUGCACAAUGGGCGCAAGCCUGAUGCAGCCAUGCCGCGUGUAUGAAGAAGGCCUUCGGGUUGUAAAGCACUUUCAGCGGGGAGGAAGGCUUUGUGGUUAAUACCCUCAGCGAUUGACGUUACCCGCAGAAGAAGCACCGGCUAACUCCGUGCCAGCAGCCGCGGUAAUACGGAGGGUGCAAGCGUUAAUCGGAAUUACUGGGCGUAAAGCGCACGCAGGCGGUUUGUCAAGUCGGAUGUGAAAUCCCCGGGCUCAACCUGGGAACUGCAUUCGAAACUGGCAGGCUAGAGUGUUGUAGAGGGGGGUAGAAUUCCAGGUGUAGCGGUGAAAUGCGUAGAGAUCUGGAGGAAUACCGGUGGCGAAGGCGGCCCCCUGGACAAACACUGACGCUCAGC
Molecule: ribosomal RNA, 716 nt
Filed under: Enterobacter kobei
Lineage: Bacteria; Pseudomonadati; Pseudomonadota; Gammaproteobacteria; Enterobacterales; Enterobacteriaceae
Description: bacterial SSU rRNA
Source: RNAcentral